CUGUACAUUUGAUUGCCAUCUGUACUUCCCUUGAAGCAGCUUUGCUUAUUACAGCCACACCUGCAUCUGUUUUGACUAGCCCACAUAACCUACACAUUUUUCAUCCAAAGCUAUCCCAUUACCUUAUUUAUGUCCAUUUAUUUUCAUAUAUAGUAUCUGCCAAAAUAGUAGCAAAAGUUUUAUCAAUGUGUAGAUUUCAAUCAGAAAAACCUAAGCAAAAGGAAAAAAAAGUGAUAUUCUAAAAGCCACACUUCUUUUAUCACCAGUGCAGUUUUUUCCAUCAUCAUAAACUUAGUUUUAUGAAAAUGUUAAUAUCUUGGAUUUAAACAUUGGGGUAGAAAUCAGGACAAAAUUUAAAUGUCAUAUCCAGGACUUAAUCUCAGAUAUUCUGGUAGAAGAUAUUUAGAUAAGGUUGUGGCUGCCUGUCAAGUUUUUUAAUUUUUUAAAUUAUAUAAUGUCAGAAAAUUAAAUCACAAAUGAGCCUUCCAGAUUGUGAGGAAAAUUACUUGGCUGAAAAUGACUUUGCAUAAUGCCCAAAUCUUGAAGUAUCUGCUCAGAUGUUUGUUCCAUCUGAAAUGCUGCCAAAUCCAUCUGUAUUGAGGAAAGAGCUAUGAGGUAGUUUCAGAGAAAGUGAAAACAAAACAAAGCAAAACAAAAAUGCUAUUACAGAAGUUGGACAGCCCAAUGUGUUAAGUAUUAUACACCUGGAACAAGAGCAGCAAAACUGAAGCUCUUUGGAAAGUUAUGGCAACAGUGGUCUGGGAAUUCUGGGCCUUUAGAAAUAAUCAUUCCCAGUGAUACAGGGAUGUGCAGCAUCCAGACACUGCUUAAUCACAGUGAGCUGCCGUCUUCCCUGAAUAAGUUGUAUCUUAUAACAUUGAAGUGAAUGAAAAUGUAUUAGUAUUUGAGAAUUUACUAUUCCUUCACCUCCUUGCACAUGUAAAUUAAAGAUGUUUUGGAAAAUAUGAGAACUUGAUGUUCACUGCCCUAGAGCACUAUUCUCCAACCUUUUAGAUUCCUGCAAUCUGUUAAUAAAAUAUUGUAGGACAACAACUCUAUAGACUGAUACAUGCUGCUCUCAAUCCAUAUACUACAUAUUAGGACAGCUUUUCUUUUCUAAAUGAGCAUGAAUAUAAAUAGAAAUUCUAGUAUUUUCUUCACCUACCCCAGUGAAUCAUCUUUAUAUUUUACUUGGGAAACUGCUACAGUUGGCUAGUGGGUCUUCACUUUUAUUGCUUUGAGAAAUGGAUAAAAGACAUAGACUAUCACCCCUCCAAAAAUGUGCAUAUGGCCCCAUACAAGACACAUGUACUGCCAGAGCUUGGGGAACUCCCUAGAAUCUACUCCUAGACCACCCUAGUGAAGUACCAUAGACCAUAUUGUCUAGAUGGGACAAAAUAAUAAAUUUUGACUAAGAACUUACUGUUUAGAGAGAAAAAAUAGUAAAUAAUGUUCAAAAUGAGAAGACAAUAACUGACAAGUCUGUGAUUUUUGGGUUAGAUGAGACCACUUUUGAUUUUUGAGGAAUAAAAGGAGUUAGUUUUUUGGUCCUGAUGUGUAAAAUGAUUCAUGGGGUUUCACAUACAGACAAGUAGUUUUCUUUUCAGCAAAUAUUUAACAUAUCUCUCAAUAUAUUUUUCACCAGUUUUUGGUAAAUAUGCAUUGCUAUAGGUAUACCAAGUUUUUUUUGUUAUGUUUAGUAACUAAUUUCAUUUUUUCUGUAUAUGUAAAUAUAGCUAUUGGACCCUGCAUUGAAAACCUUCUUAGUACUAACAACACUCCUUUUAUUAUUACCUUCAUAGUUACUUUAAAUGACAUAUUUAUUUCGAGUUUUACUUCUGGCUGAGUUGCAAAGUCUAUGAGAAUGUUACCUCCUGUCUCAGAAGCUUGUUAGUUAUUGUGCCACCUAAAUAUUGUAAUAAAAGUGUUUAAAUAAAAAUCUUCUUAAAAUUUAAAA
This 1957-nucleotide long non-coding RNA is filed under the name Homo sapiens (human). Its description in RNAcentral is "non-protein coding lnc-GUCY1A1-1:2". The record is from RNAcentral. Lineage: Eukaryota; Metazoa; Chordata; Mammalia; Primates; Hominidae.